AGUCGAACGAGAGAUGAGGAGCUUGCUCUUCAAAUCGAGUGGCGAACGGGUGAGUAACGCGUGAGGAACCUGCCUCAAAGAGGGGGACAACAGUUGGAAACGACUGCUAAUACCGCAUAAGCCCACGGCUCGGCAUCGAGCAGAGGGAAAAGGAGCAAUCCGCUUUGAGAUGGCCUCGCGUCCGAUUAGCUAGUUGGUGAGGUAAUGGCCCACCAAGGCGACGAUCGGUAGCCGGACUGAGAGGUUGAACGGCCACAUUGGGACUGAGACACGGCCCAGACUCCUACGGGAGGCAGCAGUGGGGAAUAUUGCACAAUGGGGGAAACCCUGAUGCAGCGACGCCGCGUGGAGGAAGAAGGUCUUCGGAUUGUAAACUCCUGUUGUUGAGGAAGAUAAUGACGGUACUCAACAAGGAAGUGACGGCUAACUACGUGCCAGCAGCCGCGGUAAAACGUAGGUCACAAGCGUUGUCCGGAAUUACUGGGUGUAAAGGGAGCGCAGGCGGGAGAACAAGUUGGAAGUGAAAUCCAUGGGCUCAACCCAUGAACUGCUUUCAAAACUGUUUUUCUUGAGUAGUGCAGAGGUGGGCGGAAUUCCCGGUGUAGCGGUGGAAUGCGUAGAUAUCGGGAGGAACACCAGUGGCGAAGGCGGCCUACUGGGCACCAACUGACGCUGAGGCUCGAAAGUGUGGGUAGCAAACAGGAUUAGAUACCCUGGUAGUCCACACCGUAAACGAUGAUUACUAGGUGUUGGGGGAUUGACCCC
Molecule: ribosomal RNA, 765 nt
Filed under: uncultured bacterium
Lineage: Bacteria
Description: bacterial SSU rRNA
Rfam family: Bacterial small subunit ribosomal RNA
Source: RNAcentral